CAGGCUUUUUCACUCGUGUCGUGAGAUGUUGGGUUAAGUCCCGUAACGAGCGCAACCCUUGUCCUUAGUUACCAGCACGUUAUGGUGGGCACUCUAAGGAGACUGCCGGUGACAAACCGGAGGAAGGUGGGGAUGACGUCAAGUCAUCAUGGCCCUUACGGCCUGGGCUACACACGUGCUACAAUGGUCGGUACAGAGGGUUGCCAAGCCGCGAGGUGGAGCUAAUCCCAUAAAACCGAUCGUAGUCCGGAUCGCAGUCUGCAACUCGACUGCGUGAAGUCGGAAUCGCUAGUAAUCGCGAAUCAGAAUGUCGCGGUGAAUACGUUCCCGGGCCUUGUACACACCGCCCGUCACACCAUGGGAGUGGGUUGCACCAGAAGUAGCUAGUCUAACCUUCGGGAGGACGGUACCAUG
This 414-nucleotide ribosomal RNA is filed under the name bacterium 14S435. Its description in RNAcentral is "bacterial SSU rRNA". It matches the Rfam family "Bacterial small subunit ribosomal RNA", at positions 1049 to 1461 of the family's 1533-position model. The record is from RNAcentral.